This 792-nucleotide ribosomal RNA is filed under the name Nocardioides sp. RNAcentral's name for it is "bacterial SSU rRNA". It matches the Rfam family "Bacterial small subunit ribosomal RNA", at positions 68 to 874 of the family's 1533-position model. Lineage: Bacteria; Bacillati; Actinomycetota; Actinomycetes; Propionibacteriales; Nocardioidaceae. The record is from RNAcentral.
GGAAGGCCACUUCGGUGGUACUCGAGCGGCGAACGGGUGAGUAACACGUGAGUAAUCUGCCCUUGGCUUCGGGAUAGCCACCGGAAACGGUGAUUAAUACCGGAUAUGACCGUCUGCCGCAUGGUGGGUGGUGGAAAGUUUUUUCGGCCAGGGAUGUGCUCGCGGCCUAUCAGCUUGAUGGUGAGGUAAUGGCUCACCAUGGCUUCGACGGGUAGCCGGCCUGAGAGGGUGACCGGUCACACUGGGACUGAGACACGGCCCAGACUCCUACGGGAGGCAGCAGUGGGGAAUAUUGGACAAUGGGCGGAAGCCUGAUCCAGCAACGCCGCGUGAGGGAUGACGGCCUUCGGGUUGUAAACCUCUUUCAGCAGGGACGAAGCGCAAGUGACGGUACCUGCAGAAGAAGCACCGGCCAACUACGUGCCAGCAGCCGCGGUAAUACGUAGGGUGCGAGCGUUGUCCGGAAUUAUUGGGCGUAAAGGGCUCGUAGGCGGUUUGUCGCGUCGGGAGUGAAAACCAGGUGCUUAACACCUGGCUUGCUUUCGAUACGGGCAGACUAGAGGUAUUCAGGGGAGAACGGAAUUCCUGGUGUAGCGGUGAAAUGCGCAGAUAUCAGGAGGAACACCGGUGGCGAAGGCGGUUCUCUGGGAAUGACCUGACGCUGAGGAGCGAAAGUGUGGGGAGCGAACAGGAUUAGAUACCCUGGUAGUCCACACCGUAAACGUUGGGCGCUAGGUGUGGGGUCCAUUCCACGGAUUCCGUGCCGCAGCUAACGCAUUAAGCGCCCCGCCU